CAGUCGCCGCGGUAAUACGGAGGGAGCUAGCGUUGUUCGGAAUUACUGGGCGUAAAGCGCGCGUAGGCGGUUACUCAAGUCAGAGGUGAAAGCCCGGGGCUCAACCCCGGAACUGCCGUUGAAACUAGGUGACUAGAAUCUUGGAGAGGUCAGUGGAAUUCCGAGUGUAGAGGUGAAAUUCGUAGAUAUUCGGAAGAACACCAGUGGCGAAGGCGACUGACUGGACAAGUAUUGACGCUGAGGUGCGAAAGCGUGGGGAGCAAACAGGAUUAGAUACCCCUGUAGUCCCUGUCUCUUAUAU
Molecule: ribosomal RNA, 301 nt
Filed under: uncultured bacterium
Lineage: Bacteria
Description: partial 16S ribosomal RNA
Rfam family: Bacterial small subunit ribosomal RNA
Source: RNAcentral